This 303-nucleotide ribosomal RNA is filed under the name uncultured bacterium. RNAcentral's name for it is "partial 16S ribosomal RNA". It matches the Rfam family "Bacterial small subunit ribosomal RNA", at positions 507 to 808 of the family's 1533-position model. The record is from RNAcentral.
AGCAGUAGCCGCGGUAAUACGUAGGGUGCGAGCGUUAAUCGGAAUUACUGGGCGUAAAGCGUGCGCAGGCGGUUGUGUAAGACAGGUGUGAAAUCCCCGGGCUUAACCUGGGAACUGCGCUUGUGACUGCACAGCUAGAGUAUGGCAGAGGGGGGUGGAAUUCCACGUGUAGCAGUGAAAUGCGUAGAGAUGUGGAGGAACACCGAUGGCGAAGGCAGCCCCCUGGGCCAAUACUGACGCUCAUGCACGAAAGCGUGGGGAGCAAACAGGAUUAGAUACCCCCGUAGUCCUGUCUCUUAUACC